RNAcentral lists this ribosomal RNA (510 nucleotides) under uncultured bacterium. Its description in RNAcentral is "bacterial SSU rRNA". It matches the Rfam family "Bacterial small subunit ribosomal RNA", at positions 833 to 1343 of the family's 1533-position model. The record is from RNAcentral.
UGAGGCGUGGCUUCCGGAGCUAACGCGUUAAGUCGACCGCCUGGGGAGUACGGCCGCAAGGUUAAAACUCAAAUGAAUUGACGGGGGCCCGCACAAGCGGUGGAGCAUGUGGUUUAAUUCGAUGCAACGCGAAGAACCUUACCUACUCUUGACAUCCACGGAACUUAGCAGAGAUGCUUUGGUGCCUUCGGGAACCGUGAGACAGGUGCUGCAUGGCUGUCGUCAGCUCGUGUUGUGAAAUGUUGGGUUAAGUCCCGCAACGAGCGCAACCCUUAUCCUUUGUUGCCAGCGGUCCGGCCGGGAACUCAAAGGAGACUGCCAGUGAUAAACUGGAGGAAGGUGGGGAUGACGUCAAGUCAUCAUGGCCCUUACGAGUAGGGCUACACACGUGCUACAAUGGCGCAUACAAAGAGAAGCGAACUCGCGAGAGCAAGCGGACCUCAUAAAGUGCGUCGUAGUCCGGAUCGGAGUCUGCAACUCGACUCCGUGAAGUCGGAAUCGCUAGUAAUC